Molecule: ribosomal RNA, 253 nt
Filed under: uncultured bacterium
Lineage: Bacteria
Description: partial 16S ribosomal RNA
Rfam family: Bacterial small subunit ribosomal RNA
Source: RNAcentral
UACGGGGGGAGCAAGCGUUGUUCGGAAUUACUGGGCGUAAAGAGCGUGUAGGCGGCCAGAUAGGUCUGCUGUGAAAACUCGAGGCUCAACCUCGAGAUGUCGGCGGAAACCAUUUGGCUAGAGUCCGGAAGAGGAAAGUGGAAUUCCUGGUGUAGCGGUGAAAUGCGCAGAUAUCAGGAAGAACACCCGUGGCGAAGGCGGCUUUCUGGGACGGUACUGACGCUGAGACGCGAAAGCGUGGGGAGCGAACAGG